UCUCCUGGAAAACGGGUGGUAAUGCCGGAUGCUCCGACUCCUCGCAUGGGGUGUCGGGAAAGAUUUCAUCGGUAUGGGAUGGGGUCGCGUCCUAUCAGGUAGUCGGCGGGGUAACGGCCCACCGAGCCUACGACGGGUAGCCGGCCUGAGAGGGCGACCGGCCACAUUGGGACUGAGAUACGGCCCAGACUCCUACGGGAGGCAGCAGUGGGGAAUAUUGCACAAUGGGCGCAAGCCUGAUGCAGCGACGCCGCGUGCGGGAUGACGGCCUUCGGGUUGUAAACCGCUUUUGAUCGGGAGCAAGCCUUCGGGUGAGUGUACCUUUCGAAUAAGCACCGGCUAACUACGUGCCAGCAGCCGCGGUAAUACGUAGGGUGCAAGCGUUAUCCGGAAUUAUUGGGCGUAAAGGGCUCGUAGGCGGUUCGUCGCGUCCGGUGUGAAAGUCCAUCGCUUAACGGUGGAUCUGCGCCGGGUACGGGCGGGCUGGAGUGCGGUAGGGGAGACUGGAAUUCCCGGUGUAACGGUGGAAUGUGUAGAUA
RNAcentral lists this ribosomal RNA (539 nucleotides) under Bifidobacterium catenulatum. RNAcentral describes it as "bacterial SSU rRNA". It matches the Rfam family "Bacterial small subunit ribosomal RNA", at positions 146 to 696 of the family's 1533-position model. RNAcentral also lists the same sequence under 1 other name. The record is from RNAcentral. Lineage: Bacteria; Bacillati; Actinomycetota; Actinomycetes; Bifidobacteriales; Bifidobacteriaceae.